Molecule: long non-coding RNA, 325 nt
Filed under: Setaria viridis
Lineage: Eukaryota; Viridiplantae; Streptophyta; Magnoliopsida; Poales; Poaceae
Description: long non-coding RNA (SVIR_LNC001899)
Source: RNAcentral
GAGUAUAUAGUUUGGACGACGACAUGCUCUAGAAUAUGGCACAACUAUAAGAAAUUAGAACAAAGAGCCACCGUACGUGCCGAGAUCGAUGUUGUCUCUGAUAAUAAAAUGCAGAAAUCAUUAACCAAAAACCAUACGGGGAGAGCUUUGCGUCAUUGCGUGGAGCUUCAGUGGGUUCCAAAAGUUGCUUUCUUGCGUAGCAAGGUUGUUGGACGGCGUUUUGACAAUGCACACCAAAGACGAUCAAUGUUGUUGACGCUAUAGGUUUUGUGCCUAGGGGUGCAGAUUGCAGGCCACACGCAUAUUCUUCACGAGCAAGAAUCUG